Apis dorsata (giant honeybee) is the source of this 741-nucleotide long non-coding RNA. RefSeq lists it as uncharacterized. The record is from RefSeq and is a predicted model, not a curated record. The transcript has 2 exons. Lineage: Eukaryota; Metazoa; Arthropoda; Insecta; Hymenoptera; Apidae.
AUAUAUAUUUCAACGUACAAACUAUAUUGUACCUUAAUAACCUCUAAACGCAAUGGGUACAAGGAUAAUAUUUACACAGCCUAGAACCACUUGACACGGUCCAGGAUUACGCGAUAUACCAUUUUUCAAAGAGGUCCAAAGAUUUGACAAUCAGUCUAACUUAACCUCUUUGUUCUAAAUUGAACGCGAUAAUACGCAAUCAUUUAACGGUGUGACAAGUAUUUUUCACGUUCCUAUCAACUAGUUAUCAACAUUUAUACAUAAUACAACCAGGUUCCUCGCACGCACGCACUCUCAGCCCCACUCGUAGGAUUGCGUAACGUUUUCUCUUUUUUUUUCGUUCGAUUCUCUCGUAACAUAACCCCAUUUUAGCGGAUGGUCGGUCGGUUAAUUCGUGUAUUAUGUAAAUAUCAAACAAAUUAUCGCACAAAUCUAUCAUGGUAUAUACUCAUCAAUGAAAAAUACUUUCUUUACAAUGAAACAUUUUUGUGGAAAAAACUCUCAAUCGCUCUCUUUCUCUCACUCAGUUAUAUAGCUCGGUAAAAAUACCCUGAAGAUGUACAUAUCAUUAAAUAGACGAUUACAUAAUAAAUGAAUGAACAGUCAAGUGAGAAAAAUAUGAUUUCGAUUUGUACUUGGAAAUGAUACGAAGACAUUUCUCAAAUUUGAUAAAAAUUUCCUGACGCUGCACAUUCCUACUGUGAUCGGGGUGCACCGCUGUGUUUCUAGAUCUUUUACGUA